AGCGAACGCUGGCGGCAGGCCUAACACAUGCAAGUCGAACGAACUCUUCGGAGUUAGUGGCGGACGGGUGAGUAACACGUGGGAACGUGCCUUUAGGUUCGGAAUAACUCAGGGAAACUUGUGCUAAUACCGAAUGUGCCCUUCGGGGGAAAGAUUUAUCGCCUUUAGAGCGGCCCGCGUCUGAUUAGCUAGUUGGUGAGGUAAAGGCUCACCAAGGCGACGAUCAGUAGCUGGUCUGAGAGGAUGAUCAGCCACAUUGGGACUGAGACACGGCCCAAACUCCUACGGGAGGCAGCAGUGGGGAAUCUUGCGCAAUGGGCGAAAGCCUGACGCCGCCAUGCCGCGUGAAUGAUGAAGGUCUUAGGAUUGUAAAAUUCUUUCACCGGGGACGAUAAUGACGGUACCCGGAGAAGAAGCCCCGGCUAACUUCGUG
RNAcentral lists this ribosomal RNA (433 nucleotides) under uncultured bacterium. RNAcentral's name for it is "partial 16S ribosomal RNA". It matches the Rfam family "Bacterial small subunit ribosomal RNA", at positions 29 to 507 of the family's 1533-position model. The record is from RNAcentral.